CCCUAGCCAUUCCAUCUUGAAUGCACCUGAUCUCUUCUGAUCUCAGAAGUUUAGCAGGGUUGAUUCUGAUUAGCACUUGAAUGGGAAACUACCUGGGAAUACUGAGAUCUAUAGGCU
RNAcentral lists this ribosomal RNA (117 nucleotides) under Carlito syrichta (Philippine tarsier). The record is from RNAcentral. Lineage: Eukaryota; Metazoa; Chordata; Mammalia; Primates; Tarsiidae.